AACGCUGGCGGAGGCUAACACAUGCAAGUCGAACGCCCGUAGCAAUACGGGAGUGGCAGACGGGAGAGUAACACGUGGGAACGUGCCCUUCAGUUCGGAACAACCCAGGGAAACUUGGGCUAAUACCGGAUACGUCCGCAAGGAGAAAGAUUUAUCGCUGAAGGAUCGGCCCGCGUCUGAUUAGCUAGUUGGUGAGGUAAUGGCUCACCAAGGCGACGAUCAGUAGCUGGUCUGAGAGGAUGAUCAGCCUCACUGGGACUGAGACACGGCCCAGACUCCUACGGGAGGCAGCAGUGGGGAAUCUUGGACAAUGGGCGCAAGCCUGAUCCAGCCAUGCCGCGUGGGUGAUGAAGGCCCUAGGGUUGUAAAGCCCUUUCGGCGGGGAAGAUAAUGACGGUACCCGCAGAAGAAGCCCCGGCUAACUUCGUGCCAGCAGCCGCGGUAAUACGAAGGGGGCUAGCGUUGCUCGGAAUCACUGGGCGUAAAGCGCACGUAGGCGGAUUGCUAAGUCAGGGGUGAAAUCCUGGAGCUCAACUCCAGAACUGCCUUUGAUACUGGCG
This 560-nucleotide ribosomal RNA is filed under the name uncultured bacterium. Its description in RNAcentral is "bacterial SSU rRNA". It matches the Rfam family "Bacterial small subunit ribosomal RNA", at positions 32 to 638 of the family's 1533-position model. The record is from RNAcentral.